This 564-nucleotide non-coding RNA is filed under the name Dictyocaulus viviparus (bovine lungworm). RNAcentral's name for it is "Eukaryotic large subunit ribosomal RNA". It matches the Rfam family "Eukaryotic large subunit ribosomal RNA", at positions 1891 to 2388 of the family's 3401-position model. Lineage: Eukaryota; Metazoa; Nematoda; Chromadorea; Rhabditida; Metastrongylidae. The record is from Rfam by way of RNAcentral.
UAGAAUAACGUAGGUGAGGGAAGUGGGCAAGUUCGAUUCGUAGCCUCAGAAAAGGAUUGGCUUUAGUGACGGGGUCGAUUAGCCUGUCGCCUGAUGCUUGUGUGGAUCUAUCCAUGAUCGACAUCAGAACAGUACAUAGCAUGUGUAUGUAUAUUCUGUAAUGGGCUGUAUAUGUGUAUGUGUGUGAUGAUGUUGGACUAGUAAUAAGACCGUUUCGCAGAUGUUUAUAGGUGUGUGCUUUGCUUAUGAACUGAGCAUCCUGAUCGAUCAUUGUAACGGUCGAACUGGAACUGGUAUGGACUCGAAAAAUACGACUGUCUAAUUUGAACAGAAGAGAUAGAUGGUUUUUGCAAACGUUUACGUGUCUCUGAUUUUUGCCCAGUGCUCUGGAUGUCGAAUCGUAGUAAUCUGAGUAAGCGCGGAUAAAUAGCCGAGUAACAAUGACUCUCUUAAGGUAGCCAAAUGCCUCGUCAGCUAACUACUGAUGCGCAUGAAUGGAUUAAGGAGAUUCCCACUGUCCUUAACUGCUAUCUAGCAAAAACACAAGGAAGAGGAUGGGAUUGG